RNAcentral lists this ribosomal RNA (490 nucleotides) under uncultured bacterium. Its description in RNAcentral is "bacterial SSU rRNA". It matches the Rfam family "Bacterial small subunit ribosomal RNA", at positions 28 to 512 of the family's 1533-position model. The record is from RNAcentral.
GACGAACGCUGGCGGCGUGGAUUAGGCAUGCAAGUCGAACGGUAGGAUACCUUCGGGUAUCUGAGAGUGGCGAACGGGUGAGUAACACGUAGGUGAUCUACCCUCAAGAUUGGGACAACCCAGGGAAACUUGGGCUAAUACCGGAUGAAAGCAGCAGUGAUGUUGUUUGAAAGGUGGCGUAAGCUGCCGUUUGGGGAUGAGCCUGCGCUCUAUUAGUUAGUUGGCGGGGUAAAGGCCCACCAAGGCGAUGAUAGAUAGGCGGCCUUAACGGGUGGUCGCCCACACUGGGAUUGAGAUACGGCCCAGACUCCUACGGGAGGCAGCAGUCGAGAAUAGUCUACAAUGGCCGAAAGGCUGAUAGUGCGACGCCGCGUGAACGAGAAGCCCUUCGGGUGUAAGUUCUUUUAUAUGUGAGCAGUGCUUUCUAUGUGAACAGCAUGGGGAGAGAGAUAUUAGCAUAUGAAUAAGCAACGGCUAACUCCGUGCCAGC